UGGUUCUGGCAANGAUGAAGAACGCAGCGAAAUGCGAUAAGUAAUGUGAAUUGCAGAAUUCAGUGAAUCAUCGAAUCUUUGAACGCACAUUGCGCCCCCUGGCAUUCCGGGGGGCACGCCUGUUCGAGCGUCGUCAAAUCCAUCGAGCGCUGCUCGGCAUUGGGUCUCGCCGGCGGCGGGCCCGAAAAGCAGCGGCGCGGUCGCCGGGCAAGGGACGCAUUGAAGACUCCGUUCCCUGGUGCCCCGCGGCCGCCGCCGGAAGCACAUCUUCUAGAAUUGACCUCGGAUCAGGCGGGAUUACCCGCUGA
RNAcentral lists this unclassified non-coding RNA (308 nucleotides) under uncultured fungus. Its description in RNAcentral is "partial contains 5.8S ribosomal RNA and internal transcribed spacer 2". The stretch from base 1 to 133 matches the Rfam family "5.8S ribosomal RNA", at positions 22 to 154 of the family's 154-position model. Lineage: Eukaryota; Fungi. The record is from RNAcentral.